GCACAUUAUACAACCAUUUCAAGCAUAAAUGUGUUGAAAAUCUAAAGCACAAAAAAUCACUGGGCGGCAAAACAAACUUUGGGCGGCAAAACAAACUUUGGGCGGCCAGAUCUGGAUUCAAUUUUUGAAUCCCUUUACUCAUCCCCAUCCCAAGACACUUUUAUUAUACGCUAGAAGAUCUGUUCCGAUUGUUUCUUCUUCCCAGAGAAACCCUAAAACACAAACCUCACAACCAUCUCCAAAAAGACACCGAUGAACUCAUUCACCGUCUCCACAACCCUAAACCAUAUUCCCCCUUUCUUCAAGGCCUUGUUUCUGAACCCCACGCUUCCAAUCGAGACCUGGAGUCUGAUAUUCAAGAGCUUGAUGACAACGAAGAAGAUGAUGAUGAGAACUGGAAGUCGCAACUAUCUAAACCGGAAGAUCACAGCAAUGGGGAGUGGGAUAUUCGAACUUCUGUUGGUAUGGAUUGCACUCUUCAUAACGAGAACUCAUAUCACCAGAUCCGGUUUCAGUGACACUCUUUUCAUUUUUGGGAGUAAAGAACAAGCAGAUCCAGUAUCCUAUAUGUUUGUAGAACUCAUAUCACCCCUGAUGAAGAUCUAGGAACUACAAAUCACUGCAGAACUUGAUUUCGUUUUCCUGUUGGAGCACCAUUACGUGGGAUAACUACAAAUCAGCUUAAGACAUAUGAUAAGUCCAGUGGUGAGGGCCCAGAUGGAGCAACGAAAAAAUACAGAACCUGGAUAACGAGCUUUAUUUGGAGGUCGGUGAUCUGAAUACUUAUUCUAUAAAUUAUGAUAGAAGUGGGACAUCAAAGGUUCAGAGAUCGAUGAAGGCUAUCUAUUUGAUUGAUGAUCUACUGGCUGCUGAAAUCAGUAUCAGUGGCAAACUACAAGUUCUCGACAAGUUGCUACUAGCGAUUAAAGGAUGCGAGUUAAGAGCACUUGUACUGUUUCAGUUGGCACUUAAUUCUGAAAAGGUAUCAACUGGACAUUUGUUAGAUGAUCUCUACCAUUGGGGCUACUGUACAUGGGAGGUUUCUAUGUAUUAUUGACUCCAAUUUGUAUUGUUUCAAUGGCAAAUAAAAGGGAGUUAACUGAUAGUCUUGAAGGAUUGGCUUUCUUAUUGUUUGAUCAGUGCUUUAAUAUGUUUAAAAAACGCUCCAAACAUACAUGCAAAGAAGGCCUCUUGUAACGCCCACCCCCCAGGGUGGUUGCUUUUCAACUGGAGUGAACAGGUAAUUAAUGAAAUUUAUGUAAAGAUGAUGAAGUUAAAGUAGCCAAUGCUGAUGCAAUAGAGUAUAGACGCG
This is a long non-coding RNA of Helianthus annuus (common sunflower), 1312 nucleotides long. RefSeq lists it as uncharacterized. Lineage: Eukaryota; Viridiplantae; Streptophyta; Magnoliopsida; Asterales; Asteraceae. The transcript has 9 exons. The record is from RefSeq and is a predicted model, not a curated record.